ACCAUCACAGCAAAGCUACAGACACCUGCAGAACUCGGUCCUGUGUUGGACCCUGAUGACCUGAGCCCAGAGCUCAAACAGGCCUUGGAGCAGUGGCUCGCUGGGCGUAUCAAGGAGUACGAUAUGAUCCGGCUGUUGGACCAACGCUGCUCCUCAGACUGUGGACGACCCGUUGCCGACAAAAUGCCCGAUUUUGCCCUGGAGUCUCUCGGUGCUCAUGUGGUCAGACA
Thalassophryne amazonica is the source of this 230-nucleotide long non-coding RNA. RefSeq lists it as uncharacterized. The transcript is spliced from 3 exons. NCBI's taxonomy places the organism in Eukaryota, Metazoa, Chordata, Actinopteri, Batrachoidiformes, Batrachoididae. The record is from RefSeq and is a predicted model, not a curated record.